UGCGUCCAAAGAUAAAGAAACGACCCAACUUAAACUCAGCGUGUGGAAAAGAAAACAGUUCGAAAAUAGUCAAACGGUGCACAGGGCGAAAUGUCAACCAUUUUUCAAUUUUUUUUUUUAUUAUUCUUAUUAUUGUUAUUCCGGCAACAACACGGCGGUUCUAUUCAAAAUCGGGUGACUUGAACAUAACCGUCCAAAGCGGCGGGAUACGCUUUCUUUUAUCUCGCAAGUUUUUACAGCAACGUAGCGCUAAAAUAAGCCUUCCAAGGUGGUUGCCCUGCCAACCAUUUUACGUGUUGGCCACAACGGGGGCAUCUAGUAUCACGCCCCCCUCCCGCAAAAAUGCAAAGGUAAAGUCACGUUUGAAAACAAAAUAAUAAUGCCAAAAGUAUAAGACAAAAUAUGCGCUACACAAGAUUACGUGUUUUCAUUAUUAGGUCUACACGUAUCAGACCACACGGCCUCUACAUCAUUAAUGUCUAUAUGUACACAGCACCCUUUAGCGUAAAACGAACUAAAACCUUUCGUCAUCCAUGGCAAUUUUAAACAUCCCAGUCUUUUACAACUCUUUUCAAAAAUUGUGCCAAUUAAAUGGCCAAGAAGAUGACUUGAACGGAAAAAGAAAAAGAAAAAAAAUGAAAAAUGAAAAAUAAAUAAUAAAUAAUAGAACGACGAA
Molecule: long non-coding RNA, 676 nt
Organism: Daphnia magna
Lineage: Eukaryota; Metazoa; Arthropoda; Branchiopoda; Diplostraca; Daphniidae
Exons: 2
Source: RefSeq, a predicted model, not a curated record